GAGAUGCAUUUAUUAGAUAAAAAACCAAUACAUGCUUUUAAAGUAUGGAAUUUGGUGAUUUACAAUAACUUAGCAAAUCGCAUAGUGAAAACAGGCGAUAAAUCAUUCAAGUUUCUGACCUAUCAGCUUUCGACGGUAUGGUAUUGGCUUACCGUGGCAGUGACGGUUAACGGGGGAUUAGGGUUCGAUUCCGGAGAGGGAGCCUGAGAAACGGCUACCACAUCUAAGGAAGGCAGCAGGCGCGCAAAUUACCCAAUUCUAACAGCAUAAGAGAGGUAGUGACAAGAAAUAACAAUACAAGGCAGUUAAAAUGCUUUGUAAUUGGAAUGAUAGAAAUUUAAACACUUUUUAAAGUAUCAAUUGGAGGGCAAGUCUGGUGCCAGCAGCCGCGGUAAUUCCAGCUCCAAUAGCGUAUAUUAAAAUUGUUGCAGUUAAAAAGCUCGUAGUUGAAUUUCUGCUAAAAAUAACCGGUCUGCUUUUAAUAAAGGUGGUAUCUUGGUGUGUUUUUAGCAAUAAUGUCCUUUGAAAUGUUUAUUACUUCAUUGUAAUAAAUUAUUUUCAGGAUUUUUACUUUGAGAAAAUUAGAGUGUUUCUAGCAGGCUAACGCUUUGAAUACUGCAGCAU
This 624-nucleotide ribosomal RNA is filed under the name Hepatozoon felis. RNAcentral's name for it is "SSU rRNA". It matches the Rfam family "Eukaryotic small subunit ribosomal RNA", at positions 198 to 810 of the family's 1831-position model. The record is from RNAcentral. Lineage: Eukaryota; Apicomplexa; Hepatozoidae.